GCGGGCGUAGCUCAAUGGUAGAGCACGAGCUUCCCAAGCUUGGGACGAGGGUCCGAUUCCCUUCGCCCGCU
Molecule: transfer RNA, 71 nt
Filed under: Holosporaceae bacterium
Lineage: Bacteria; Pseudomonadati; Pseudomonadota; Alphaproteobacteria; Holosporales; Holosporaceae
Description: tRNA-Gly
Rfam family: tRNA
About the family: Transfer RNA (tRNA) molecules are approximately 80 nucleotides in length. Their secondary structure includes four short double-helical elements and three loops (D, anti-codon, and T loops).
Source: RNAcentral